RNAcentral lists this ribosomal RNA (423 nucleotides) under uncultured bacterium. Its description in RNAcentral is "bacterial SSU rRNA". It matches the Rfam family "Bacterial small subunit ribosomal RNA", at positions 917 to 1344 of the family's 1533-position model. The record is from RNAcentral.
GGGCCCGCACAAGCGGUGGAGCAUGUGGUUUAAUUCGAUGCAACGCGAAGAACCUUACCAGGGCUUGACAUACUACAAAUUCUUUUGAGAAAGGGAAGUGCCUUCGGGAAUGUAGAUACAGGUGGUGCAUGGCUGUCGUCAGCUCGUGUCGUGAGAUGUUGGGUUAAGUCCCGCAACGAGCGCAACCCUUAUUUUUAGUUACCAAUUCGUUGGGUUUUUUAGAAAGACUGCCGGUGACAAACCGGAGGAAGGUGAGGAUGACGUCAAGUCAGCAUGCCCCUUAUGUCCUGGGCUACACACGUGCUACAAUGGUUAAGACAAAGAGUUGCAAGCUCGUGAGAGUAAGCUAAUCUAAUAAACUUAGCCUAAGUUCAGAUUGUAGGCUGCAACUCGCCUGCAUGAAGUUGGAAUCGCUAGUAAUCG